CCUACGGGUGGCUGCAGUGGGGAAUAUUGGGCAAUGGAGGAAACUCUGACCCAGCAACGCCGCGUGAAUGAUGAAGGUCUUCUGAUUGUAAAGUUCUUUUCUAAGGGAACAAAAACGUGACGGUCCCUUCGGACUAAGCCUCGGCUACCUACGUGCCAGCAGCCGCGGUAAUACGUAGGAGGCGGGCGUUAUCCGGAAUGACUGGGCGUACAGGGUGCGUAGGUGGUUUGGCAAGUUAGUAGCGUAACUCCAAGGCUCAACCUUGGAACUACUACUAAAACUGUUGGACUUGAGUGCAGGAGGGGCAACCGGAAUGCCUAGUGUAGCGGUGGAAUGCGUAGAUAUUAGGAGGAACACCAGUGGCGAAGGCGGGUUGCUAGACUGUAACUGACACUGAGGCACGAAAGCGUGGGGAGCAAACAGGAUUAGAUACCCCGGUAGUC
This 443-nucleotide ribosomal RNA is filed under the name uncultured bacterium. RNAcentral describes it as "partial 16S ribosomal RNA". It matches the Rfam family "Bacterial small subunit ribosomal RNA", at positions 338 to 795 of the family's 1533-position model. The record is from RNAcentral.